Molecule: ribosomal RNA, 468 nt
Filed under: uncultured bacterium
Lineage: Bacteria
Description: partial 16S ribosomal RNA
Rfam family: Bacterial small subunit ribosomal RNA
Source: RNAcentral
GACGAACGCUGGCGGCGUGCUUAACACAUGCAAGUCGAACGGAAAGGCCCUGCUUUUUUGUGGUGCUCGCGUGGCGAACGUGUGAGUAACCCGUGAGUCACCUUCCCUUUACUUUGGGAUACCUUCAGGAAACUGGUGCUACUACCUGCUACGUGCUCCUGCUGCAUGGUGGUGGUUGGACCUUUUCGGCGGUAGGGGAUGGACUCGCGGCUUAUCAGCUUGUUGGUUGGGUAGUGGCUUACCAAGGCUUUGAAGGGUAGUCGGCCUGAGAGGGUGAACGGCCACAUGAGGACUGAGAUAGGGCGCAGACGCAUACGGGAGGCAGCAGUGGGGAGUAUUACACAAUGGGCGGAAGCCUGAUGCAGAAACGCCGCGUGCGGGAUGAAGGCCAUCGGGUUGGAAACCGCAGUCGCCUGUGACGAAGCGGGAGUGACGGUAAUGGGUAAAGAAGCACCGGCUAACUACGUG